GAUGAACGCUAGCGGCAGGCUUAACACAUGCAAGUCGAGGGGCAGCGGGGUGUAGCAAUACAUCGCCGGCGACCGGCGCACGGGUGCGUAACACGUAUGGAAUCUGCCCUCUACUGGGGAAUAGCCCGGAGAAAUCCGGAUUAAUGCCCCAUAACAAGCGAGGUGGCAUCACCUUGCUUUGUAAAGCUCCGGCGGUAAAGGAUGACCAUGCGCACGAUUAGCUAGUUGGUGAGGUAACGGCUCACCAAGGCUACGAUCGUUAGGGGGCCGU
This 271-nucleotide ribosomal RNA is filed under the name uncultured bacterium. RNAcentral's name for it is "partial 16S ribosomal RNA". It matches the Rfam family "Bacterial small subunit ribosomal RNA", at positions 28 to 294 of the family's 1533-position model. The record is from RNAcentral.